GCAAAGUUCAAAAAUUUCUGGGCUCAUUCUGUGGAGAGACAAAAAACAAAGUAUUCUACCUUGGACACAGCACCACUUGCUGAAGAGCAAACUGGGGGACAGGACAAGACAGAAGAGAGAGUUCACAGAAAAUUGCAAGCUUUACUAUUUUUGAAAACCUUGGUGAUAUAGGCCUCGGAUGAUGGGAGGUCCAAUCAGAGAAGCUCAAGCACCAUUCGCCUCUGAGUCAGUCAAUGAGAGACCAGCAACGAGUACAUUGUCCUGUUUUUGGAAAACGGAAACCUUCAUGUCUUGCACCUCGGCAUCAUGGGGAUGCUGGAAGUGUCCAAUCAGAGCAGCCCAAGCACCACUCUGGACCGGCUCAGCCAAUGAAAAGCCUGCAGCUCCUGAGGUACAGCCAUUGACUCAAAAGUGUGAGGAGGUGUCCUGGGCUGAAGUAAUAGGAGUCUUCCCGGCACAUGCAGCCUUUGAGAUUGAGAGGGGAAAGGGAUAUGAUUCUUUGCCAUUGGGCCAAAUGUUACAAUGUGACACAGUGUAAUCCAGUAACAGCCUUCUUGGGAGAUUUGGCCUUUAGAGAUUAUGGAGUAUAGUGGAACGUUUCAUUCCCUGUGGUUUGUUUGCUGGCUGGUGUUUAAUCAUGGUGAUUUAAUGAUAUGAAUUCAGAGACUGCGCUGGACGGUCUUUUGUCCCUUGCAUCAAAUAUGGCAAGAGGUUGAUUACUAAUAUUUCAAGUAAGAUUUUUAUACCUUCAUUUGUAAAUGGAGCUCUUCAGAAAUUGGAAUAGUAAGUUUUCUUCACUGCUUGUAUCAUUCCGUUACAUUUUCUAGUAAUAAAAAUUAGCUUUUCCUCCUUCAUGACUGAAACCAUUCUAUUGGCAGUAGAAUUAGCUGUCCCUUAAAUGUCCAAGAGGAAACAUGAUUAGACGCCUAGUCACUGUGCAUGAAACCACACUGAUGACACCCAUUUCUUCAAUUUUUCUAAAGUCCCUUUUUGGUUCAACUUCUGUAAUUUAUUUCUACAUAAAUACAUUUAAGUAUGCCUUUGAUUGUAUUAACCUGGACUCUUGAAAGUAAUUUGAUUUUCAUUUUUAAAUAUUUCCCAUUUACUGAUUCCAUUUUUUCUCCCUAUGUUGGUUUC
Non-coding RNA from Delphinapterus leucas (beluga whale), 1137 nucleotides. The record is from RefSeq and is a predicted model, not a curated record. Lineage: Eukaryota; Metazoa; Chordata; Mammalia; Artiodactyla; Monodontidae.